GCCUCUGUGGCGCUCACCCGCGCUCCUCCGCUCUGAUUGGUGGAGGCCGGAGCGUGUCGCCGAAGCAGGGAGGCACGGGGAGGGCGCUUCCGCGGUUGUGAGGCGCCGGUCGGCGGUGGUGAGGCCGGGUGGCAGGCUCGGGGCUAAGCGCGGUCUCGGCGGGUGGCGGCUCCGCCAGCGACGGGCGGGGUCGGAGCGAGAUGGAACCGUGACCAGUGACUGAGGAGAGAGCUGCUGGCAUGGAAUUGAGCUGGGUUUGCCCGUGGGAACUGUGAGUAAGGUUGCCAUCACGAAAGCCAAAGUGGAUUUCUCCGGUGUGGUGUGCCUGCCCCCUUCCGUCAUUGCUGGAAAUGGGCUGGACGGAGGAGGGGCUGGCGAAAAUGAUGAUGAGCCGGUGCUGGUGUCGCUUUCGGCGGCC
This is a long non-coding RNA of Pezoporus flaviventris, 418 nucleotides long. RefSeq lists it as uncharacterized. NCBI's taxonomy places the organism in Eukaryota, Metazoa, Chordata, Aves, Psittaciformes, Psittacidae. The transcript has 3 exons. The record is from RefSeq and is a predicted model, not a curated record.